Molecule: ribosomal RNA, 365 nt
Filed under: uncultured bacterium
Lineage: Bacteria
Description: bacterial SSU rRNA
Rfam family: Bacterial small subunit ribosomal RNA
Source: RNAcentral
AACGAACGCUGGCGGCAUGCCUAACACAUGCAAGUCGAACGAGACCUUCGGGUCUAGUGGCGCACGGGUGCGUAACGCGUGGGGAUCUGCCCUUUGCUUCGGAAUAACAGUUAGAAAUGACUGCUAAUACCGGAUGAUGUCGUAAGACCAAAGAUUUAUCGGCAAAGGAUGAACCCGCGUAGGAUUAGCUAGUUGGUGGGGUAAAGGCCUACCAAGGCGACGAUCCUUAGCUGGUCUGAGAGGAUGAUCAGCCACACUGGGACUGAGACACGGCCCAGACUCCUACGGGAGGCAGCAGUGGGGGAAUAUUGGACAAUGGGCGAAAGGCCUGAUCCAGCAAUGCCGCGUGAGUGAUGAAGGCCUCG